UACGUAGGGUCCAAGCGUUAUCCGGAAUUACUGGGCGUAAAGCGUCUGUAGGCGGCUUUUCAAGUCGGGUGCGAAAUCUUGUGGCUCAACCAUAUAGAUGUUGCCCGAAACUGAUAAGCUAGAGAUAGGUAGAGGCAAGUGGAACUUGCGGUGUAGGAGUGACAUCCGUAGAUAUCGCAAAGAACACCAAUGGCGAAGGCAGCUUGCUGGGCCUUAUCUGACGCUCAGAGACGAAAGCGUGGGGAGCGAACGGG
This 254-nucleotide ribosomal RNA is filed under the name uncultured bacterium. RNAcentral describes it as "partial 16S ribosomal RNA". It matches the Rfam family "Bacterial small subunit ribosomal RNA", at positions 524 to 776 of the family's 1533-position model. The record is from RNAcentral.